CCUACGGGAGGCAGCAGUGGGGAAUAUUGGGCAAUGGGCGCAAGCCUGACCCAGCAACGCCGCGUGAAGGAAGAAGGCUCUCGGGUUGUAAACUUCUUUUAUCAGGGACGAAGCAAGUGACUGUACCUGAUGAAUCAGCCACGGCUAACUACGUGCAAGCAGCCGCGGUAAUACGUAGGUGGCAAGCGUUCUCCGGAUUUACUGGGGGUAAAGGGCGUGUAGGCGGGAAAGCAAGUCAGAUGUGAAAACCAUGGGCUCAACCUGUGGCCUGCAUUUGAAACUGGUUUUCUUGAGUACUGGAGAGGCAGACGGAAUUCCUAGUGUAGCGGUGAAAUGCGUAGAUAGUAGGAGGAACACCAGUGGCGAAGGCGGUCAGCUGGACAGCAACUGACGCUGAGGCGCGAAAGCGUGGGGAGCAAACAGGAUUAGAUACCCCUGUAGUC
Molecule: ribosomal RNA, 443 nt
Filed under: uncultured bacterium
Lineage: Bacteria
Description: partial 16S ribosomal RNA
Rfam family: Bacterial small subunit ribosomal RNA
Source: RNAcentral